AUUGAACGCUGGCGGCAUGCCUUACACAUGCAAGUCGAACGGCAGCACGGGUGCUUGCACCUGGUGGCGAGUGGCGAACGGGUGAGUAAUACAUCGGAACAUGUCCUGUAGUGGGGGAUAGCCCGGCGAAAGCCGGAUUAAUACCGCAUACGAUCUACGGAUGAAAGCGGGGGACCUUCGGGCCUCGCGCUAUAGGGUUGGCCGAUGGCUGAUUAGCUAGUUGGUGGGGUAAAGGCCUACCAAGGCGACGAUCAGUAGCUGGUCUGAGAGGACGACCAGCCACACUGGGACUGAGACACGGCCCAGACUCCUACGGGAGGCAGCAGUGGGGAACUUUGGACAAUGGGCGAAAGCCUGAUCCAGCAAUGCCGCGUGUGUGAAGAAGGCCUUCGGGUUGUAAAGCACUUUUGUCCGGAAAGAAAUCCUUGGCCCUAAUACGGUCGGGGGAUGACGGUACCGGAAGAAUAAGCACCGGCUAACUACGUG
This 486-nucleotide ribosomal RNA is filed under the name uncultured bacterium. Its description in RNAcentral is "partial 16S ribosomal RNA". It matches the Rfam family "Bacterial small subunit ribosomal RNA", at positions 30 to 507 of the family's 1533-position model. The record is from RNAcentral.